UCGGGGAUCGGCUAAUGGCAAGCCCCUUGGCUUUGAACCAGGAAACGAGGGUUCGAUUCCUUCUCCCCGAG
This 71-nucleotide transfer RNA is filed under the name Pirellulales bacterium. Its description in RNAcentral is "tRNA-Gln". It matches the Rfam family "tRNA". Rfam says of the family: Transfer RNA (tRNA) molecules are approximately 80 nucleotides in length. Their secondary structure includes four short double-helical elements and three loops (D, anti-codon, and T loops). Lineage: Bacteria; Pseudomonadati; Planctomycetota; Planctomycetia; Pirellulales. The record is from RNAcentral.